RNAcentral lists this ribosomal RNA (653 nucleotides) under Callopistria exotica. RNAcentral's name for it is "SSU rRNA". It matches the Rfam family "Eukaryotic small subunit ribosomal RNA", at positions 1165 to 1808 of the family's 1831-position model. Lineage: Eukaryota; Metazoa; Arthropoda; Insecta; Lepidoptera; Noctuidae. The record is from RNAcentral.
CACCACCAGGAGUGGAGCCUGCGGCUUAAUUUGACUCAACACGGGAAAUCUCACCAGGCCCGGACACCGGAAGGAUUGACAGAUUAACAGCUCUUUCUUGAUUCGGUGGGUGGUGGUGCAUGGCCGUUCUUAGUUGGUGGAGCGAUUUGUCUGGUUAAUUCCGGUAACGAACGAGACUCUAGCCUGCUAAAUAGGCGUCGUCAUUUAGGUGUGCGUGGCUCCGUCACGCAACUCACUGGCGACGUAUUAAAAUUCUUCUUAGAGGGACCGGCGGCUUCGAGCCGCACGAGAUUGAGCAAUAACAGGUCUGUGAUGCCCUUAGAUGUCCUGGGCCGCACGCGCGCUACACUGAAGGAAUCAGCAUGUUCUCCCUGGCCUAGAGGCCCGGGCAACCCGCUGAAACUCCUUCGUGCUGGGGAUUGGGGUUUGCAAUUAUCCCCCAUAAACGAGGAAUUCCUAGUAAGCGCGAGUCAUAAGCUCGCGUUGAUUACGUCCCUGCCCUUUGUACACACCGCCCGUCGCUACUACCGAUUGAAUGAUUUAGUGAGGUCUUCGGACCGACACGCGGUGGCUUCGCGGCCGUCGGCGUUGCUGGGAAGUUGACCAAACUUGAUCAUUUAGAGGAAGUAAAAGUCGUAACAAGGUUUCCGUAG